GACGAACCGUGCGAACGUUAUUCGGAAUCACUGGGCUUAAAGCGCGUGUAGGCGGGCCAGCACGUCGGGCGCUGAAAUCCCCCGGCUCAACCGGGGAACGGGCACCGAUACGACUGGCCUGGAGGGGAGUAGGGGGACCUGGAACUUCCGGUGGAGCGGUGAAAUGCGUUGAGAUCGGAAGGAACGCCCGUGGCGAAAGCGGUGUACUGGGGCUGGUCUGACGCUGAGGCACGAAAGCCAGGGGAGCGAACGGG
RNAcentral lists this ribosomal RNA (254 nucleotides) under uncultured bacterium. RNAcentral describes it as "partial 16S ribosomal RNA". It matches the Rfam family "Bacterial small subunit ribosomal RNA", at positions 524 to 776 of the family's 1533-position model. The record is from RNAcentral.